AGUCGAGGGGUAUAGUUCUUCGGAGCUAGAGACCGGCGCACGGGUGCGUAACGCGUAUGCAAUCUACCUUUUACAGAGGGAUAGCCCAGAGAAAUUUGGAUUAAUACCUCAUAGUAUGCAGAGUUGGCAUCAGCACUGCAUUAAAGUCACAACGGUAAAAGAUGAGCAUGCGUCCCAUUAGCUAGUUGGUAAGGUAACGGCUUACCAAGGCUACGAUGGGUAGGGGUCCUGAGAGGGAGAUCCCCCACACUGGUACUGAGACACGGACCAGACUCCUACGGGAGGCAGCAGUGAGGAAUAUUGGACAAUGGGCGCAAGCCUGAUCCAGCCAUGCCGCGUGCAGGAUGACGGUCCUAUGGAUUGUAAACUGCUUUUGUACGAGAAGAAACACUGCUUCGUGAAGCAGCUUGACGGUAUCGUAAGAAUAAGGAUCGGCUAACUCCGUGCCAGCAGCCGCGGUAAUACGGAGGAUCCAAGCGUUAUCCGGAAUCAUUGGGUUUAAAGGGUCCGUAGGCGGUUUGGUAAGUCAGUGGUGAAAGCCCAUCGCUCAACGGUGGAACGGCCAUUGAUACUGCCAGACUUGAAUUAUUAGGAAGUAACUAGAAUAUGUAGUGUAGCGGUGAAAUGCUUAGAGAUUACAUGGAAUACCAAUUGCGAAGGCAGGUUACUACUAAUGGAUUGACGCUGAUGG
Molecule: ribosomal RNA, 691 nt
Filed under: Flavobacterium sp. T57.08.B.COS.MI.W.Swimbladder.D
Lineage: Bacteria; Pseudomonadati; Bacteroidota; Flavobacteriia; Flavobacteriales; Flavobacteriaceae
Description: bacterial SSU rRNA
Rfam family: Bacterial small subunit ribosomal RNA
Source: RNAcentral